Molecule: unclassified non-coding RNA, 219 nt
Filed under: Hevea brasiliensis (rubber tree)
Lineage: Eukaryota; Viridiplantae; Streptophyta; Magnoliopsida; Malpighiales; Euphorbiaceae
Source: RNAcentral
CGCCGCCGGAGAAGCCGUUGCCGGGGGAUUGUUGCGGGAGUGGAUGCGUUCGAUGUGUGUGGGAUGUAUAUUACGAAGAGCUUGAAGAUUACAACAAGCUUUGCGAGAAAGGUUCGGCGCCCAAUUCAUGAGAUUUCAAUUGAGCCCCAGUUUUUAAAAACUGUAUUUGAAUCUGUUUCUUGUUGUAAACUCAUUGAAUUCAAAUUGAUUCUGUAUCAG